UACGUAGGGUGCAAGCGUUAAUCGGAAUUACUGGGCGUAAAGCGUGCGCAGGCGGUUAUGCAAGACAGAUGUGAAAUCCCCGGGCUCAACCUGGGAACUGCAUUUGUGACUGCAUGGCUAGAGUACGGUAGAGGGGGAUGGAAUUCCGCGUGUAGCAGUGAAAUGCGUAGAUAUGCGGAGGAACACCGAUGGCGAAGGCAAUCCCCUGGGCCUGCACUGACGCUCAUGCACGAAAGCGUGGGGAGCAAACAGG
Molecule: ribosomal RNA, 253 nt
Filed under: uncultured bacterium
Lineage: Bacteria
Description: partial 16S ribosomal RNA
Rfam family: Bacterial small subunit ribosomal RNA
Source: RNAcentral